UACGUAGGGGGCAAGCGUUGUCCGGAAUCAUUGGGCGUAAAGAGCGUGUAGGCGGCCCGAUAAGUCCGCUGUGAAAGUCCAGGGCUCAACCCUGGGAUGCCGGUGGAUACUGUCGGGCUCGAGUCCGGAAGAGGCGAGUGGAAUUCCUGGUGUAGCGGUGAAAUGCGCAGAUAUCAGGAGGAACACCGGUGGUGUAGACGGCUUUCUGGACCGUAACUGACGCUGAGACACGAAAGCGUGGGUAGCAAACAGG
Molecule: ribosomal RNA, 253 nt
Filed under: uncultured bacterium
Lineage: Bacteria
Description: partial 16S ribosomal RNA
Rfam family: Bacterial small subunit ribosomal RNA
Source: RNAcentral